Molecule: ribosomal RNA, 468 nt
Filed under: uncultured bacterium
Lineage: Bacteria
Description: partial 16S ribosomal RNA
Rfam family: Bacterial small subunit ribosomal RNA
Source: RNAcentral
GACGAACGCUGGCGGCGUGCUUAACACAUGCAAGUCGAACGGAAAGGCCCUGCUUUUGUGGGGUGCUCGAGUGGCGAACGGGUGAGUAACACGUGAGUAACCUGCCCUUGACUUUGGGAUAACUUCAGGAAACUGGGGCUAAUACCGGAUAGGAGUUCCUGCUUAAUGGUGGGGGUUGGAAAGUUUCGGCGGUUGGGGAUGGACUCGCGGCUUAUCAGCUUGUUGGUGGGGUAGUGGCUUACCAAGGCAUUGACGGGUAGCCGGCCUGAGAGGGUGACCGGCCACAUUGGGACUGAGAUACGGCCCAGACUCCUACGGGAGGCAGCAGUGGGGAAUAUUGCACAAUGGGCGGAAGCCUGAUGCAGCAACGCCGCGUGCGGGAUGACGGCCUUCGGGUUGUAAACCGCUUUCGCCUGUGACGAAGCGUGAGUGACGGUAAUGGGUAAAGAAGCACCGGCUAACUACGUG